This 76-nucleotide transfer RNA is filed under the name Allonocardiopsis opalescens. It matches the Rfam family "tRNA". From Rfam's summary of the family: Transfer RNA (tRNA) molecules are approximately 80 nucleotides in length. Lineage: Bacteria; Bacillati; Actinomycetota; Actinomycetes; Streptosporangiales. The record is from Rfam by way of RNAcentral.
UCCGGGGUAGUGUAACAGGCAGCACGCCGUCCUUUGAAGUCGGUUAUUAGUCAGGGUUCGAAUCCCUGCCCCGGAG